AUGAUCCUGACCAAGUACGAGGUGCUGCGGCGCGCCGGGAGGCUCGUCGGCGAGGCGGCCCGCACCGGCAGGAUAAAGGCCGGCGGCGCCGUGGAGCUCGAGCUGGUGGUGGAGAAGGAGAACCUUGAGUAUGCGCCGGCGGAGGACAUGCUUGGGUACGGCGCGCGGUUCACGCAGUUCCUCCGGGGCUGCCCGCGCGCGUUCCGGGCGCUGACGAGGCUCGCCGUGGAGAACCUGUGGUUCAAGGACCCGGGCGCCGUGACGGACCUCGUCCGCCGCUGCCGCGCGCUGGAGCACCUCUCCCUGCGCUGCUGCGGCUUCGACGACCCAGUGGCGGAGAUGGCCGUGGACGCGCCGCCGGAGUCGCGGCUGAGGACGCUGCUGUGCCUCGAGUGCGACGUCCCCGGCGUCGCGCUCGUGCGGGCGCCGAGUCUCGUGGAGUUCCACUGCGGGUGGCGGCUGUUCCACGCGAACACGCCGCCGGCGUCGUUCGGGUGCACGCCGGCGCUGAAGAAGGUGACCCUGCAUUACCAGCCGUACCACAGGGAUGAUGCUCAUGUCGGGAGGAGGCUGAGCGAAUUUUUGCUUCUAGAGCCUGACCAGUUAGAGGUGCUCACGCUCUUGUUUGAUGAAGCUACCAAGAUUUGGGUGCGCCCAGAGAUGCCGAAGUACCUGCGGCCCGUGCUCGGCGGCCUGAAGGAGCUCCGCCUGGAGAAUGUCCACCCUGCCCGUGAUCUCUCCUGGGCGCUCUUUCUGCUGGGAGCUGCACGACACUUGGAGACACUUUACAUCGAGAUCUUCAACCACGUGUGCAGCCUCAGCUGGGACAUGAAGCUCGAUGAGGACAUGGAGCCGGAUGCGACAUGCCUACCACCGCCGGGGUUCAGGCACCGUCGCCUCAAGGAGGUGGUGAUCCGUCGUGCGUUCCAUGUGGCCAGGGACGCGUCGUUCGCGAGGACGGUGGUGGAGAUGGCCGUGAACCUGAAGAAGCUUACCCUGGGCGUGGAGGACCACGGGUGCGACGGGUGCACGGCCGUGGAAGCUAGGCGGCCAGCGCUGGCCAGGUCCAGGUUCAGGUUCCCUGGAGCUGGUAAGGACGUGGACGCGCUCGUCGAGAGAGUGAGAGGUGGCGUCACCACGUCUGCCCAGGUAGUCGUGCUCUGA
This 1164-nucleotide ribosomal RNA is filed under the name Triticum aestivum (bread wheat). Its description in RNAcentral is "partial small subunit ribosomal RNA". Lineage: Eukaryota; Viridiplantae; Streptophyta; Magnoliopsida; Poales; Poaceae. The record is from RNAcentral.